CAGUGGGCGCGCGCGGCUGUUUCCCCCCCCCCCCAACCUCGCAAUCCGGUCCCGGCCGCAGCUCCCGGAGCGGUUGCCAUGGAGACGGCGGGAAGCAACGCGCGGCGCUUCAUCCCGGCCAGGUGGGCCGAAGCUGCGCAGAUGGCAGCCCAGGUAUCCGGUAUAUAACAGAGCCUCUUAUUAAGAAGCUGGCCAAGCAAGAGAAUCUGGCGCGCGUAACUGCUCUGAACCUUUCUCUCGGUAAAGAUGGAGGGAAAAAAUUUAAGGUAUAUGUCUGGUGCUUUGUACUUUAACAACCAUCAACUACAGACAAAUAAUUCUUAGAUAACAAUUAAGCAUUUCUUCCCAGGGCAGGAAGUCUUGUCAGGUGCCUGUUUGAGAUACACGUAUCAUUUCCUGCGCUGCUGGAUUUUGUACCAGUUGCAGCUUCUGUAUGCUUUUCAAAGGGCAGCCCCAUACAGAGUGCAUUAGAGCAGUGCAGGAGGGGAGUGACUGAGAGGUGAGUGACUCUGCGCAAGGCUUCCUAAGUGAGCAGGGUUGCAAUUGGCACACAAGAUAGAAUUGUGCAAAUGGCCUGCUGGCCACAGCUGUCACUUGCUUAUCAAGAAGUUGAAGGUCCGGAAAUUGUGCACCAUUGCCAAAUGAGGGAACACAACCUUAUUCAGAGUGAAAGAUGGAACUAUCCUGGAAUUGUUUAGGGCACAAAUCCAGAGCCAACCCAUCUUGGGGGAGAUUCUAUUUUUCCUCCUCAUCCAGACACUGAUGGCCUCCAGCAAUUUUACUGCAUCACCUGCUUGGCCUGGGGACAAGAUCUAGAACAGGUUAUCACCAGCAUAUUGAUGAUAGCAGGACUCGUGUUGACAAAUUACGUUCCCCGGUGGUUUCAUUUAGAUGUAAAAAGAAGCAGGAAAAAGAGACUUGGAAUCUCUGGGAAGGUCUCUCCUCCUCCACCAGCACUGACUGUAAUCAUGCCCGAAGGAAGGAGGUGAACCACUAAAGACUUGCGUCCCCCACCCCAGUCCCACAGAGGCAGUGAGGAGGCUGCCUUGGCUGAGAGAUCAAGGACCAGGAAGGUUGCACUCCUCAAAUUUGGUGUCAUCCACAAAUUCCUCCAAUGCAGUUUCCAUGCUGCACCUCCACUGGAAGACUGAGCACUAUGGAUCCCAGGCAGCAACAUGCUCCCAAAAUAUACUCCUUCAAUACUUUUUUAAGUUUUCAUAAAGAACAAGGAUACAUUGUCUUAAUUUUGCAGGAUUGUGGCAUGUGAUAGUCUAAGAGAAAGGUGUUUAUAAUUGCUAUUACGUCAGAUAAUUGCUAACCUACUUUGCAAGUGGAUUACUAAGGUGGAAAAUUCUGAGGCACCAUCUAGAUGCUAAGUAUUCUUAGAUACUUUCAACAAUUGGUGGCCUGUGGCAAAAUAUUUACAAUAGUGUGUGUGAAAUGCAGCUGAACCCAAUGAGUCACCAAGGCAAGUUUCUUCUAAACAGCUCUGUGUAGUAGCCAGUGAUUUAUAAAUACUUUUAUUACUGUUAAUAAAUCAAAUGCAAAAGUGAACAAACAUCUCCUAGAGAUUCCUCAAAGAUCAGAGGCACUGGAUUGGAAAGGCCGUAGCUGAAAGAAGACUACGUGCCAGAGGAGGAGCCGCCUCUCUCCAUGCCACUCAGGGGUCCCAAUUGAAGGAGUCAGGACCUCAGAAUUGACAUCUUAAAGAGCUAACUUUCCCGAGAGAGAAAUAAAAAUUUAGAGAACCUGAACUGGCCACCCUUCUUCAUUUAAACAGUAUUUCAAAAACAUCUCUCCUUUAUAUUGCCAGGUGAAUUUCAGUAAAUCACUUCUUCUCCAUCCGGGAUGAUGUAAUGGCAAGGUGGGUGAGCUCUGCUCCAAGCAGCAGCUGAGGCACUGGCAGAAUCAGAAUUUUAGCAUGCUCUGCUGGGUGGGGAUCAUCUAACAGAAACAGUCUCUGCUUCCUCUUGCUACAUUCACACGUACAGCUGAGGGCCCCUACGUAGACCCAAGAGAGAGUGCGACUCCUGGAGCUGGGAUGCUUUUGGUCCUGACAUGGGAGGGAGGUUGGGGAGACUGGCAGAUCCUACAGUGAGGCAACCUGGGCCUCUUGAUCUGGCAAAGGAUCUUACGAAUUUCAGUUGUUAAGAGAGGGGAUGAUGGGGGCAAAAUAAAAAAAAAAA
Molecule: long non-coding RNA, 2186 nt
Organism: Crotalus tigris (Tiger rattlesnake)
Lineage: Eukaryota; Metazoa; Chordata; Lepidosauria; Squamata; Viperidae
Exons: 2
Source: RefSeq, a predicted model, not a curated record